AUUGAACGCUGGCGGCAGGCUUAACACAUGCAAGUCGAACGGUAACAGGAAGAAAGCUUGCUUUCUUUGCUGACGAGUGGCGGACGGGUGAGUAAUGCUUGGGAAUCUGCCUUAUGGAGGGGGAUAACUACGGGAAACUGUAGCUAAUACCGCGUAAUAUCUUUGGAUUAAAGUAUGGGAUCUUCGGACCAUAUGCCAUAAGAUGAGCCCAAGUGAGAUUAGGUAGUUGGUGAGGUAAAGGCUCACCAAGCUGACGAUCUCUAGCUGGUUUGAGAGGAUGACCAGCCACACUGGAACUGAGACACGGUCCAGACUCCUACGGGAGGCAGCAGUGGGGAAUAUUGCACAAUGGGCGCAAGCCUGAUGCAGCCAUGCCGCGUGAAUGAAGAAGGCUUUCGGGUUGUAAAGUUCUUUCAGCGAUGAGGAAGGUGCUAUAUCUAAUAGGUGUAGCAAUUGACGUUAGUCGCAGAAGAAGCACCGGCUAACUCCGUGCCAGCAGCCGCGGUAAUACGGAGGGUGCGAGCGUUAAUCGGAAUAACUGGGCGUAAAGGGCACGCAGGCGGUUGUCUAAGUCAGAUGUGAAAGCCCCGAGCUUAACUUGGGAAUUGCAUUUGAGACUGGGCGACUAGAGUCCUCUAGGGAGGGGUAGAAUUCCACGUGUAGCGGUGAAAUGCGUAGAGAUGUGGAGGAAUACCGAAGGCGAAGGCAGCCCCUUGGAGAGAGACUGACGCUGAGGUGCGAAAGCGUGGGUAGCAAACAGG
This 761-nucleotide ribosomal RNA is filed under the name uncultured bacterium. Its description in RNAcentral is "bacterial SSU rRNA". It matches the Rfam family "Bacterial small subunit ribosomal RNA", at positions 28 to 776 of the family's 1533-position model. The record is from RNAcentral.